GAUGAACGCUAGCUACAGGCUUAACACAUGCAAGUCGAGGGGUAACGAGAGGAAAGCUUGCUUUCCUUGUCGACGACCGGCGCACGGGUGAGUAACGCGUAUCCAACCUGCCCCCAACUAGGGAAUAACCUUGCGAAAGUAAGACUAAUACCCUAUAAUUUCCUCAGAUGUCAUCUGACGAGGAAUAAAGAUUUAUCGGUUGUGGAUGGGGAUGCGUCUGAUUAGCUUGUUGGCGGGGUAACGGCCCACCAAGGCAACGAUCAGUAGGGGUUCUGAGAGGAAGGUCCCCCACAUUGGAACUGAGACACGGUCCAAACUCCUACGGGAGGCAGCAGUGAGGAAUAUUGGUCAAUGGGCGGAAGCCUGAACCAGCCAAGUAGCGUGCAGGAUGACGGCCCUAUGGGUUGUAAACUGCUUUUAUACAGGAAUAAAGUGAGCCACGUGUGGUUUUUUGUAUGUAUACUAUGAAUAAGGAUCGGCUAACUCCGUGCCAGCAGCCGCCGAAA
This 506-nucleotide ribosomal RNA is filed under the name uncultured bacterium. RNAcentral's name for it is "partial 16S ribosomal RNA". It matches the Rfam family "Bacterial small subunit ribosomal RNA", at positions 28 to 523 of the family's 1533-position model. The record is from RNAcentral.